RNAcentral lists this ribosomal RNA (415 nucleotides) under uncultured Prevotella sp. Its description in RNAcentral is "bacterial SSU rRNA". It matches the Rfam family "Bacterial small subunit ribosomal RNA", at positions 355 to 767 of the family's 1533-position model. The record is from RNAcentral. Lineage: Bacteria; Pseudomonadati; Bacteroidota; Bacteroidia; Bacteroidales; Prevotellaceae.
UGAGGAAUAUUGGUCAAUGGCCGCAAGGCUGAACCAGCCAAGUAGCGUGCAGGAUGACGGCCCUCGGGUUGUAAACUGCUUUUAGUCGGGAAUAAAAGGACGCACGUGUGCGUCGUAUUGCAAGUACCGUCAGAAAAAGGACCGGCUAAUUCCGUGCCAGCAGCCGCGGUAAUACGGAAGGUCCGGGCGUUAUCCGGAUUCAUUGGGUUUAAAGGGAGCGCAGGCCGCCCCUUAAGCGUGUUGUGAAAUGCCGCGGCUCAACCGUGGCACUGCAGCGCGAACUGGGGGCUUGAGUGCGCGCAGCGCAGGCGGAACUCGUGGUGUAGCGGUGAAAUGCUUAGAUAUCACGAAGAACUCCGAUCGCGAAGGCAGCCUGCGGGAGCGCAACUGACGCUGAGGCUCGAAAGUGCGGGUA